RNAcentral lists this ribosomal RNA (496 nucleotides) under uncultured bacterium. RNAcentral describes it as "partial 16S ribosomal RNA". It matches the Rfam family "Bacterial small subunit ribosomal RNA", at positions 28 to 506 of the family's 1533-position model. The record is from RNAcentral.
GAUGAACGCUGGCGGCGUGCCUAAUACAUGCCAGUCGAGCGAACGGACGAGAAGCUUGCUUCUCUGAUGUUAGCGGCGGACGGGUGAGUAACACGUGGAUAACCUACCUAUAAGACUGGGAUAACUUCGGGAAACCGGAGCUAAUACCGGAUAAUAUUUUGAACCGCAUGGUUCAAAAGUGAAAGACGGUCUUGCUGUCACUUAUAGAUGGAUCCGCGCUGCAUUAGCUAGUUGGUAAGGUAACGGCUUACCAAGGCAACGAUGCAUAGCCGACCUGAGAGGGUGAUCGGCCACACUGGAACUGAGACACGGUCCAGACUCCUACGGGAGGCAGCAGUAGGGAAUCUUCCGCAAUGGGCGAAAGCCUGACGGAGCAACGCCGAGUGAGUGAUGAAGGUCUUCGGAUCGUAAAACUCUGUUAUUAGGGAAGAACAUAUGUGUAAGUAACUGUGCACAUCUUGACGGUACCUAAUCAGAAAGCCACGGCUAACUACGU